GACGAACGCUGGCGGCGUGCUUAACACAUGCAAGUCGAACGGUGAAGCGCCUUCCUUUUUGGUGGGUGUGGAUGAGUGGCGAACGGGUGAGUAACACGUGAGUAACCUGCCCCCUUCUUCUGGAUAACCGCAUGAAAGUGUGGCUAAUACGGGAUAUUCUGGGUCUGUCGCAUGAUGGGUCUGGGAAAGAUAUUGUUUCGGUGGGGGAUGGGCUCGCGGCCUAUCAGCUUGUUGGUGGGGUGAUGACCUACCAAGGCGGUGACGGGUAGCCGGCCUGAGAGGGUGGACGGUCACACUGGGACUGAGACACGGCCCAGACUCCUACGGGAGGCAGCAGUGGGGAAUAUUGCACAAUGGGCGCAAGCCUGAUGCAGCGACGCCGCGUGAGGGAUGGAGGCCUUCGGGUUGUGAACCUCUUUCGCCAGUGAAGCAGGCCUGCCUCGUUUGUGGGUGGGUUGACGGUAGCUGGAGAAGAAGCGCCGGCUAACUACGUG
RNAcentral lists this ribosomal RNA (494 nucleotides) under uncultured bacterium. Its description in RNAcentral is "partial 16S ribosomal RNA". It matches the Rfam family "Bacterial small subunit ribosomal RNA", at positions 28 to 507 of the family's 1533-position model. The record is from RNAcentral.